Molecule: long non-coding RNA, 508 nt
Filed under: Mus spicilegus (steppe mouse)
Lineage: Eukaryota; Metazoa; Chordata; Mammalia; Rodentia; Muridae
Description: lncRNA (ENSMSIG00000003456.1)
Source: RNAcentral
CAAUCUCAUAGCGGACUCCCCGGUGUUGCCCUUAUGAUCUCCCCACUCCCUCUUCAGUGUUCUGUGAGCCUUAGGUGUGGGACUUGUUUUGUAAAUGUAUCUACCGGGACUGACUGCACUCCACACCCUGACACUCUUUCCUCUACUUUUACUCAGAAUAUUUAUUUUGAAAUUCUCAUUUUAUUUCACAGGAUGGAUAUCCCAUUGAGUACUUAUUCACCUACUGAUAUAUGUUUGAGUUGUGUCCAGUUUCUUGCGCAUCAUAAUAAAGCCGUGUGUAAACCCAUGGUUAUGCUGGGUGUCCCCCAAAUGCAGACCGUACACCAAAGGAGCCCUAGAUAUUCUGUUCAUGCUGAUGUCUUACCUGAGGAUCUGGAAACCUGCUUUCCUGAAGCUUCUCUCGCCAUUCCCAGAUGUUAUCCUUGUUCAGCCACACAAUGAGAUGUCACAGAGAUUCAAGAAAGGACUUGUCAUACAGUGUGACUCAAGAGAAAACUGUAAAAUGCCC